UCCUACGGGAGGCAGCAGUGGGGAAUAUUGCACAAUGGGGGGAACCCUGAUGCAGCCAUGCCGCGUGAAUGAAGAAGGCCUUCGGGUUGUAAAGUUCUUUCGGUGAUGAGGAAGGUGUUUUGUUUAAUAGACAAAGCAAUUGACGUUAGUCACAGAAGAAGCACCGGCUAACUCCGUGCCAGCAGCCGCGGUAAUACGGAGGGUGCGAGCGUUAAUCGGAAUAACUGGGCGUAAAGGGCACGCAGGCGGAUUGUUAAGUGAGAUGUGAAAGCCCCGGGCUUAACCUGGGAAUUGCAUUUCAGACUGGCAGUCUAGAGUAUUUUAGGGAGGGGUAGAAUUCCACGUGUAGCGGUGAAAUGCGUAGAGAUGUGGAGGAAUACCGAAGGCGAAGGCAGCCCCUUGGGAAUAUACUGACGCUCAUGUGCGAAAGCGUGGGGAGCAAACAGGAUUAGAUACCCUGGUAGUCC
Molecule: ribosomal RNA, 467 nt
Filed under: uncultured bacterium
Lineage: Bacteria
Description: bacterial SSU rRNA
Rfam family: Bacterial small subunit ribosomal RNA
Source: RNAcentral